AAAAUUUCAAAAGGGUAAAAUGGUAAUUUGCUAUAAUCUCAUUUAUACCCUAUAACAAUUAAUUAAAACAAAGUAAAAAUAAAAUAGAGUUAUAAUAUUUAAAAAUAAACCACCACAAAAUGAAAAUAAAAUACAAUUAUGAUAUUUAAAAAUAAACCACCAUCACUCAUCCUCCUCCUUCCUCAACCAACCUACAACGUGGUUGACAUCUCGUUGCCACCAACCACACAACGUCGGCACCUCCACAGCCAGCACGACUUCUGACCCCCACCCCCACCCCCGGCUUCAACACCUGUCAACAUCGACAGGAAAUUCCCAAAACACCUAACCCGAGUUGAGAAGUAGGUUUUGAAAUAGGGAUCAAAUCUUCAUCUAAACCCAAAUCUCAAUAGAAGUCAAUCUACUGUAGAGUUCAAGAACUGAGUGUGUCUCGUAUAGAGAGGUUAUGGUGACGACGAUGGUGGGUUAUCUACUGCCGCUAAAGAGGUUCCAAAUGAAAAAUUAGUGCAACAUCAUGGCAAGAUGAUUCGAUUUCUGGUUUUGAUUUGAGUAGUGUGGGAUGUUAUUUCUGGAUUUGAUAAAGAUGAAUUAGAUUUUUGGUUUCAGAUUGACGGUGGGCUUGGCGGAGAUUUUUAUUGAAUGAUUUUCGAGUGUGGGAAUGAGUUUUCUGGGUUUGAUUUAAAAUUGCAGUGGGCUGGAAGGCAACAAUAGUGAAUGGAUGGUGGUGAGUAGGAGUUGUGGAGGCGGUGUGGGUCGAAGGUGGCGACGGCGACAAUUUCUGGUAAGGUCUCCUCGGGGAAAAAGAGUUACUCUGUUUUAAUUUUGGUGGGCGCGGGGUGGGGUUGGGUGGGUGUAUUUAUAUAUUUAUUUUUAUUUUUUGAAUUUUUUAUUUUAAUUUUUAACAGGGAUAAAUAAGAAUAAAUAGCAAAAUUAUCAUUUUAGCCUUUCGAAGUUUGGCCAAAUUCAACUUUUUUGUUUAUCUAACGGUCAAAUGGAUAGAAACCUCCUAAAUCAAGUAGUUUAAAAGCCCGGAACUGACAGGAUUCAAUCAGGCACUAUUUCCAAUGACUAUUUUGCGCAAUUAAUCGCUAUAUGUUUUCUAACUAUAACUGUCAGUGUAAUCCGUGUCCUGAGGUAGCCACAGGCUACCAACCUUUACAAUUACAUUUCCUCCGUUGGGAAUGAAAUUAGAUCUUAUGACUCAACUCGAUUUACGUUUUUUUCUGUUACGUCAAGUUGCUCAAUUUUAUAUCCAGAACCUCAGGCCCCCCUUUACUAUUAAGGGCGCAAGAGCGCCCCAAGAUGGUUAGGGGUUUUCUAUACUGGGUGGGGAAGAUCGAACUUGAAAUCCAUACAUAGGAGUGUGUGAGAGCCUCCCACUCAACCCAGCAAGUAAAAGGCGGAGGCGUAUUAUCAGUAACAGCACCCUAUACGAGUAGUUCAGUAAGUACCUAUAGUUCACCCAAUUUCCAUACCAGUAAAAGAACCGUUGAUUCGGUUCAAACCUCAAAUGCAUAUUUUUAAAAGAUUUUGGACCGUUAGCGGUACAAAGUGAAUGUUGAAGUAAAGUUUGCAAAAAAAUGAAAGGUAAAGAACUGUUACUGCAAUUUUUCCUUAAAUUUAUUCAUAACAUUUGUGAAGUGGAUUUGACAUAUUAGUAAUUAGAAAAGGAAUAUUAUGUGCAUAUCUUUUUUAGACAAUUGCCGCCGGUUAGCCCUCAGCACCAACAUUAUGUGUGGCUGACCAGUGCAGGGCGCACCAAAUACCUGCUCAAAGCUACACCUACUGCAUGUCAUGGUGAUAUAUCGAUUCACAAUCAAGAAUCAACUAUAGUAAAUUAGCUAAGCUAGAUAAUCAAGAUUUGUAAUAUGCUCAAGUUAUCACUUGCUUUUAUUUUUAUUUCUAUUACUUCAAAUAUAGUUUUACGAUCGAGUUGUAUUGUGAUUUCCUUUAGGCAAGUCAUACCGUGGAUGUCAUGUCUAUAAUACCUUUAAAUUGACCCUUUUUUCCUUUAUACAAGUACAAACAGGUGACUUGAGUUUUUUUCUUAUUAUUCAUUGAUUUAUCUCUCAUUAGCUUUAUCCAUAUUCCGCGCUUUUGAGUUUCCAGUCUCUCUUUUCAAUUUUAUAAAAUUGUAACAACAAACUCCAU
This 2151-nucleotide long non-coding RNA is filed under the name Olea europaea (common olive). RNAcentral's name for it is "long non-coding RNA (OEUR_LNC000156)". The record is from RNAcentral. Lineage: Eukaryota; Viridiplantae; Streptophyta; Magnoliopsida; Lamiales; Oleaceae.